GAUGAACGCUGGCGGUGUGCCUAAUACAUGCAAGUCGAGCGAACAGACGAGGAGCUUACUCCUCUGACGUUAGCGGCGGACGGGUGAGUAACACGUGGAUAACCUACCUAUAAGACUGGGAUAACUUCGGGAAACCGGAGCUAAUACCGGAUAACAUGUUGAACCGCAUGGUUCAACAGUGAAAGACGGUCUUGCUGUCACUUAUAGAUGGAUCCGCGUCGCAUUAGCUAGUUGGUAAGGUAAAGGCUUACCAAGGCAACGAUGCGUAGCCGACCUGAGAGGGUGAUCGCCCACGUUGGAACUGAAACACGGUCAGAACUCCAACGGGAGGCAGAAGUAGGGAAUCUUCCGCAAUGGGCGAAAGCCUGACGGAACAACGCGGCGUGAGUGAAGAAGGUCUUCGGAUCGUAAAACUCUGUUAUUAGGGAAGAACAAAUGUGUAAGUAACUAUGCACGUCUUGACGGUACCUAAUCAGAAAGCCACGGCUAACUACGUG
This 497-nucleotide ribosomal RNA is filed under the name uncultured bacterium. RNAcentral describes it as "partial 16S ribosomal RNA". It matches the Rfam family "Bacterial small subunit ribosomal RNA", at positions 28 to 507 of the family's 1533-position model. The record is from RNAcentral.